This 433-nucleotide ribosomal RNA is filed under the name uncultured bacterium. Its description in RNAcentral is "partial 16S ribosomal RNA". It matches the Rfam family "Bacterial small subunit ribosomal RNA", at positions 28 to 507 of the family's 1533-position model. The record is from RNAcentral.
GACGAACGCUGGCGGCAUGCCUAACACAUGCAAGUCGAACGAUGCCUCCGGGCAUAGUGGCGCACGGGUGCGUAACGCGUGGGAAUCUGCCCUUGGGUUCGGAAUAACUCGCCGAAAGGCGAGCUAAUACCGGAUGAUGACGUAAGUCCAAAGAUUUAUCGCCCAAGGAUGAGCCCGCGUAGGAUUAGCUAGUUGGUGGGGUAAAGGCCCACCAAGGCGACGAUCCUUAGCUGGUCUGAGAGGAUGAUCAGCCACACUGGGACUGAGACACGGCCCAGACUCCUACGGGAGGCAGCAGUGGGGAAUAUUGGACAAUGGGCGAAAGCCUGAUCCAGCAAUGCCGCGUGAGUGAUGAAGGCCUUAGGGUUGUAAAGCUCUUUUACCCGGGAUGAUAAUGACAGUACCGGGAGAAUAAGCUCCGGCUAACUCCGUG